RNAcentral lists this long non-coding RNA (1073 nucleotides) under Vombatus ursinus (common wombat). Its description in RNAcentral is "lncRNA (ENSVURG00010002483.1)". Lineage: Eukaryota; Metazoa; Chordata; Mammalia; Diprotodontia; Vombatidae. The record is from RNAcentral.
AAAAAGCAGAAAAUAAGGACCUGUUAGAUCACUCCUCUUGAGAAUGCUUUUUGUAAAGGAGCCCGAGAAGGAAGGGUCACGCGAUUUCUUUGCAGCACGUUUCAAGAAGGCAGAAAAAAACCACGAAACCCACCCUCAUAUCUUUUAAGAGGAGUCACAGACACAUGCACCCACACGUUCAACCCCGCAGUGAGGAAUGAAGCAGGCACUACCCACUCAGUCUCACCAAGGGACGCCAGCCUGUCCCGUCUCGCCCCACCCCCCUCGCACUCCUUGCUUCCCCCAGGAUAAUCCUCUCUUGGGGCUGCUCUGCCCAGACAGACAGAGAAGAGCAAAGGGAGAGCGAGUGUGCGCCCACGGCCAAAGCCUGCCCGGGUUACGCAGAGAGCGAGCGAGCGCGCGCGCCCCGACCCAGCAUCUACAGGCAGAUUCCUGCGUGGUUGUCCGCCGAGGGAGCCGGGCAGGCUGACGCGGCUUUUCGCCGUCUACCCGGCAUCUAUGAUUAUGACUAUGAUUGUUUAUUCAAGUACCCCAUCUGGAGGAUACCUGAAACCCUACCUCGUAUGCCUUGGAGGUGUCAGAAGUUAGUGCUCAGGUGUGCCUUAAACAUUCUGAGGAUAUUCAAUAAACUUAAAAAAAAAAAAACCCCAAAACAAGCGGUUUUUAAACAAGUUCACGUUUUCCUAUACAGUCCUCAUUCUUCUUUGUAUGUUGAAAUGUUUGUGGUUGUUAUUUGCAAAGUUCACAGGGGAAAAAAUAUGAAAAUAUAAGAGUAGGGAAUAUGUAUUUAUAUAAGCGUUUGCUAUGUAUAGGGAGCUUUACACAUAUCUCGUUUUAUCCUCACAACAGCCCUGAGAGAAGCUAUUGACCCCAGUUUACAAAUGAGGAAACUGAGGCAGAGGUUAGGUGACUUGCCCAAGGUCCCUAGUACGUGUCAGAGGCCCAUUUUGAAAUCAUGUCUUCCGGACUCCAGGUCCAGAGCUCUAUCUAGCAGCUCUAUCGCUGCUUCUAAGGGUGUGAAUAGGGGGGAUAUUUUAAAUAAAUGAGUAGUUGAUAGGGAGAUUAGGUAGGUA